This 349-nucleotide long non-coding RNA is filed under the name Physcomitrium patens. Its description in RNAcentral is "long non-coding RNA (PPAT_LNC000768)". The record is from RNAcentral. Lineage: Eukaryota; Viridiplantae; Streptophyta; Bryopsida; Funariales; Funariaceae.
UAUACUCACAAUCUUGUAUCUAUUGACUGUCUUGUUAGAUUAACCCAAAAAUUUUCAUUCACUCCGCAUAGUCAAUCCUAUAGACACCCUUUUAAUUCUUCAAUCACAGACGUAACUUUGAUUUCACAAAACAGUCAAGAGUAUUCUCACCCACUUCAUUAAAACCCUGAUACACCAGUACAACAUUGACUUCAGCAACAAUUGCCUCAGUCUUCUUAAAACCCUAUGAAGAAAAAAAAACCCCGAUUCUCUGUCUUUUUUCCCCGAAGCAUAAAACUAGCUCUCCGACUCUUGAAAACCCCUGAUUCUCUCCCUCCUUAUUUCUUAUCCUAUCCUCCCUUUUAACCCU